RNAcentral lists this ribosomal RNA (375 nucleotides) under uncultured organism. RNAcentral's name for it is "partial 16S ribosomal RNA". It matches the Rfam family "Bacterial small subunit ribosomal RNA", at positions 527 to 896 of the family's 1533-position model. The record is from RNAcentral.
GUAGGUGGCAAGCGUUGUCCGGAAUUAUUGGGCGUAAAGCGCGCGCAGGCGGUCCUUUAAGUCUGAUGUGAAAGCCCACGGCUCAACCGUGGAGGGUCAUUGGAAACUGGGGGACUUGAGUACAGAAGAGGAAAGCGGAAUUCCAAGUGUAGCGGUGAAAUGCGUAGAGAUUUGGAGGAACACCAGUGGCGAAGGCGGCUUUCUGGUCUGUAACUGACGCUGAGGCGCGAAAGCGCGGGGAGCAAACAGGAUUAGAUACCCUGGUAGUCCACGCCGUAAACGAUGAGUGCUAAGUGUUAGGGGGUUUCCCGCCCCCUUAGUGCUGCAGCUAACGCAUUAAGCACUCCGCCUGGGGGAGUACGGCCCGCAAGGCUG